ACAACUACACAUCUAAAAAUAUACCAAAUAAUUAAAUUCAUACUCUAUAAAAUUUUAUUGUCCUUACAAAGAAGGGAAGGUUCACACUGUCUAUAAAUAUACCCAUCUAAAUUACAUGACAUUAUUUUUAUCAACUCCUAAAAAAAAACAAUAGAACUAUUGCACGAUGUACAAACGACAACAUCUUUAAACCACUGCUAACAGAACAAAAAUUCUAUAAUGCUUCAACUUGCUCCGCAUAUUCUUCAAGGAUAGGUUCUUCAAACUUCAAGUUCUUGAUCUUGAUCUAUUAAAAGAAGAAGUCAUGUCACAUUAGUGAAAAACUCCUACUAGCUACUUUAUUUAGAAAAUAAAUGAAUAAUUUAAUCACCAAAUCAACUAAACAAUUGGAGUAAAUAUUGUUUGAUUAUACUAGUGCAGCCAAUGAUUAGUUUUAAGAAGUUUAUCUUUUAUGUUCAAGUACUAAUUGGUAUCAGUUCACCACCUAUAAUAUUGCUAAGCUGGUAUAACAAUACACCAGCGAUGGGAAAAAGGAGAUAGGCAGUGAAUCCGGGCAGCUUCUACUGUCCACAGGGAAUGUUUAUGAUAUGGUGAAGGAGUUUGAGAAGGAGAAGAGUAAUGUGCAAUCUAGCCAACAUAAACAGUCACAAGAUCAUAGAGAACUUGUUGAUCGAGGGAUGUUACAAGGAAAAUUAUAGGCUAAUCAAGUUAGGGGGGGAAGAAGAUGAGCAUGGUUGAUUUUAAAUAUAGUGAUGACACGGAAAGUGAAGGUGGCAGCCCACUUUCAGUUGCUUCACCAUAGGCACAAGGUAACAAAGCUACUCAAAUGUCUCCAACGACAAAAUUGAGUCCUAUAGCACCUGUUUUUGUUCCUUCAAGCAAGGCAAUGAUUUCAGUUCAUGAUAGGGCACUCUUGGACGCAUUGGACAGUCCAAAAGCACAAAAAGUAGCACAUUCCUGUGGUUCGAAGUCGAAUUCCCAACUAAUGCAAUUUUCAGGUUGUAAUACAAUUUUGGGAGAGCAACAAGCAAUAAAACCUGCACAAGGAGUAUCCGAGUAGCAACAAUUAUCCUAUACACAAUUGAGCAAAUUAAAUCUAGAUAAUUGCGUGCCUAGACAAUUCCCCCUAGGUGUUGUCAAUAAGAUUACUUAUCAAAAAGUCAAUCAAAACAAACUCAUUGAUGCAACAGAAAGCUAAACGGAAUAAAGCAAAUAAUAUACAGAAUCCUUAUUGAAUGGCUUUGCAAAUGUAAUAGAUGAAAGUAUUCUUACCUUUUGAUCUCCGGCUCCAUAUGAUCAUCAAGCAAAAUAUUUUACAGGUAAAUAAUGGUCCUUCUUGAGUGAGCAUUGCGCCAAAUUUUAUCAUGGAAAAU
This 1373-nucleotide long non-coding RNA is filed under the name Nicotiana benthamiana. RNAcentral describes it as "long non-coding RNA (NBEN_LNC009971)". Lineage: Eukaryota; Viridiplantae; Streptophyta; Magnoliopsida; Solanales; Solanaceae. The record is from RNAcentral.